RNAcentral lists this long non-coding RNA (495 nucleotides) under Brassica napus (rape). Its description in RNAcentral is "long non-coding RNA (BNAP_LNC020292)". The record is from RNAcentral. Lineage: Eukaryota; Viridiplantae; Streptophyta; Magnoliopsida; Brassicales; Brassicaceae.
UUGAUUAAUUUUACUUUAAAAAUUGAUUUAGAACUCUAAUGAAGGAUCUAUUGUUGGAGAUGGUCUUACGUUUCAAAUAAAAGAUCAGCUUAUGACUAGGUAUCAUUCACACUCGGAAUCAGUUUUCACUCUUACGCAUUAAAUCAAAUUUCAUUAUCUCUUACGUUUCAAAUUUGCAGAAUCAGUUUCCAUACACCACGAUUCAUCAUUGUAGUACUCCCCUUUCAGCUUGCAUGCGUCUUUUAUGACGGUGCAUGUGUUCCUUCUCAACUGAAUCUUCCUUCUCUCACGAGUCUUCCACAGCGGGCAUGAGAAGUCUACGUCGAGAUGAAGCCUAAAGAAAGCCACGACAACAUAUCAAUCAAACAACACAUAUCUACAAAGAGUCCGAGUCACUCACUACCUUGAAAGUGGGAGAAACAGUGGAAGCGCUGGUGGUGACGAAACUGGAGAGAGAACCAACUUUACUUUUUUUUUUUUUUGAACAUGUAGAAC